Molecule: ribosomal RNA, 473 nt
Filed under: uncultured bacterium
Lineage: Bacteria
Description: bacterial SSU rRNA
Rfam family: Bacterial small subunit ribosomal RNA
Source: RNAcentral
ACUCCUACGGGAGGCAGCAGUAGGGAAUCUUCCACAAUGGGCGCAAGCCUGAUGGAGCAACACCGCGUGAGUGAAGAAGGGUUUCGGCUCGUAAAGCUCUGUUGUUAAAGAAGAACACGUAUGAGAGUAACUGUUCAUACGUUGACGGUAUUUAACCAGAAAGUCACGGCUAACUACGUGCCAGCAGCCGAGGUAAUACGUAGGUGGCAAGCGUUAUCCGGAUUUAUUGGGCGUAAAGAGAGUGCAGGCGGUUUUCUAAGUCUGAUGUGAAAGCCUUCGGCUUAACCGGAGAAGUGCAUCGGAAACUGGAUAACUUGAGUGCAGAAGAGGGUAGUGGAACUCCAUGUGUAGCGGUGGAAUGCGUAGAUAUAUGGAAGAACACCAGUGGCGAAGGCGGCUACCUGGUCUGCAACUGACGCUGAGACUCGAAAGCAUGGGUAGCGAACAGGAUUAGAUACCCUGGUAGGAUAGCG